AGUUCGGCUGGAUUGGAUACAGGUGUUGCAUGGCUGUCGUCAGCUCGUGUCGUGAGAUGUCGGGUUAAGUCCUUUUAACGAGCGCAACCCUCAUUGCAUGUUAAUUUUUUCAUGCGAGACUGCCCUGGUUAACAGGGAGGAAGGUGGGGAUGACGUCAAGUCAGCAUGGCCCUUACGCCUUGGGCUACACACGUGUUACAAUGGCCGGUACAAUAAGUCGCAAUACCGCAAGGUGGAGCUAAUCUAUGAAAACCGGUCCCAGUUCGGAUUGGGGGCUGAAACUCGCCCCCAUGAAGUCGGAAUCGCUAGUAACCGUAAAUCAGCACGUUACGGUGAAUACGUUCCCGGGUCUU
RNAcentral lists this ribosomal RNA (353 nucleotides) under uncultured bacterium. RNAcentral describes it as "bacterial SSU rRNA". It matches the Rfam family "Bacterial small subunit ribosomal RNA", at positions 1017 to 1382 of the family's 1533-position model. The record is from RNAcentral.